This 415-nucleotide ribosomal RNA is filed under the name uncultured prokaryote. Its description in RNAcentral is "partial 16S ribosomal RNA". The record is from RNAcentral.
CCCUAUGGGGUGCAGCCUGUCCGGCACAGCUACGGAAUCACACUUUCCGGAGGUGAGCGGCGGCGUUGCGAAAUUGCCCGGUCGCUGGCUGUCGACCCGAAAUUCAUCCUGCUCGACGAACCCUUCGCGGGCAUCGAUCCCAUCGCGGUGGAAGAUAUCCAGCAAAUCGUGAAACGGCUGAAGGAACGGAACAUCGGAGUGCUGAUCACCGACCAUAACGUUCACGGGACCCUCUCCAUCACCGACCGCUCUUACCUGCUCUUCGAAGGAUCGAUCCUCAGGGCCGGGUCAAGCCAGGAACUGGCAGGCGAGCCGCAUGUGAGGAAAGUCUACCUCGGGCAGAAUUUUGAGUUGAGGUAGGGGAUGGGGAACAAUAGAACAGUAGAACAUUAGAACGAAGAACAGGCGGGAGAGC